UAGAGAGACAGGAAGGUCACCCAACCCACCCAUCACUUGAGGCAGAGGAAUCACAGAACUCUUCUCAGAGGGCAUGGGUUACAGCCCAUAUUCUUCAGAUUCUGCUGGACUGGAUCUACUCCCUAGACACACAAGGAAACAAGCUCUAAAGGGCCUGGCAACAGAAGAAGAUGAAGAAGAUGCUCAGAGAGAAGAUGACCUGCAGUCUUGACCUAACUCCAGGCGAGAGUGAGUGAUGACAACAAGGAGGAAGAGGGUAGGGCUACGGUUUUCUGAGUGUUUAGAAAAGGAGCUACAAAGGAAUAUGGCAGCUGCUGUCAACUAUUUCUCAAAGUCAGAAGGCUUUGUGAGGAUGGACGAAUACAGAGUUGGAUUCAGCACACUGAGCCAUCACUUCAGAGGCCCCAGCCCACUCUCCUGGAUUGUGAAGGGCCCACCUGGGCUGCAAGCAGGAGAAUGUUCUUGCCACUUGUUUGAGCAUCAUGUCUCUGCCUGAGGCUGCUGCUGUUAGAGAGGCACUGGAGACUUAGGUGGGAAAAGGCUAUCCAUGAGACUUUGGACUCCUUCCCUCCACCCCCUGUUGCUUCUGCCAAGGUGGACAGUGAGAGAGGAAGGCCCGUUCUCUACGGCUUGCACACCAGCAUACGAAGAACAUCUGCAGAGGUUCAAUUUCAUCCCCUCGGUUUUGCAAGAGAGAAGCGCUCUCAGACAGAAAAGCCUGAAAAAGCCACCUGUUUCACACAUAAGAAAAGUUGCUGACUUGUCUCAGUUUGGUUGAUGCGAUAAUUGAAACCUCACAAAAAUAUAUAACCUAAUUGGACAAGGGGUCACAUUUCUGUAAUUUGUGAGACUUCUUGAAAGUGGUGGAUAGAAGCCCAAGGAGUUCAAGCUAAAUCUAGAGAGCUGGUUCUACAUGUCGGAGAACUGAUUUCUUCCAUAAGGAGCAAUAAUGUUUUCCCUCCUGGAAAAACAUCUUGGAUAUCCAGUAUCUGGUUGUAUUAUAACCUGAAAAGAGAAGCUUAUUGAGAAACCAGUACAUUUUUAAAAAUAGGUCCUAGUAAAUGUUGCCAUUUUUGAAAUGAGAUAGCAUAGCUCAAUGUUUCUUCAAAAUGCACACUUUUUACAUCAUUUCAUAAAUGGUAUGUGUGUAUACACAGAAACUGGAAUAUUAUUCAGCUGUAAUAAAGAAUAAAAAUCUCAGCAUUUGCAACAGCCUGGAUAGAUCUUGCGCACAUUACGCUAAAUGGA
Talpa occidentalis (Iberian mole) is the source of this 1248-nucleotide long non-coding RNA. RefSeq lists it as uncharacterized. The transcript is spliced from 5 exons. Lineage: Eukaryota; Metazoa; Chordata; Mammalia; Eulipotyphla; Talpidae. The record is from RefSeq and is a predicted model, not a curated record.